AGGACGAACGCUGGCGGCGUGCUUAACACAUGCAAGUCGAGCGGAAAGGCCCUUCGGGGUACUCGAGCGGCGAACGGGUGAGUAACACGUGAGCAACCUGCCCUUAGCUCCGGGAUAGCUCCGGGAAACCGGAAUUAAUACCGGAUAUGACCUAGGCCGACAUCGGCUGUGGUGGAAAGUUUUUCGGCUGGGGAUGGACUCGCGGCCUAUCAGCUUGUUGGUGGGGUAAUGGCCUACCAAGGCGACGACGGGUAGCCGGCCUGAGAGGGCGACCGGCCACACUGGGACUGAGACACGGCCCAGACUCCUACGGGAGGCAGCAGUGGGGAAUCUUGCGCAAUGGGCGAAAGCCUGACGCAGCGACGCCGCGUGGGGGAUGAAGGCCUUCGGGUUGUAACCCCGUUUCAGCAGGACGAAGCGAAAGUGACGGUACCUGCAGAAGAAGCGCCGGCUAACUACGUGCCAGCAGCCGC
Molecule: ribosomal RNA, 473 nt
Filed under: uncultured bacterium
Lineage: Bacteria
Description: SSU rRNA
Rfam family: Bacterial small subunit ribosomal RNA
Source: RNAcentral